CCUACGGGGGGCAGCAGUGAGGAAUAUUGGUCAAUGGACGAGAGUCUGAACCAGCCAAGUAGCGUGAAGGAUGACUGCCCUAUGGGUUGUAAACUUCUUUUAUAUGGGAAUAAAAUGUUCCACGUGUGGGAUUUUGUAUGUACCAUAUGAAUAAGGAUCGGCUAACUCUGUGCCAGCAGCCGCGGUAAUACGGAGGAUCCGAGCGUUAUCCGGAUUUAUUGGGUUUAAAGGGAGCGUAGGUGGAUUGUUAAGUCAGUUGUGAAAGUUUGGGGCUCAACCGUAAAAUUGCAGUUGAAACUGGCAGUCUUGAGUACAGUAGAGGUGGGCGGAAUUCGUGGUGUAGCGGUGAAAUGCUUAGAUAUCACGAAGAACUCCGAUUGCGAAGGCAGUUCACUGGACUGCAACUGACACUGAGGCUCGAAAGUGUGGGUAUCAAACAGGAUUAGAUACCCCUGUAGUC
RNAcentral lists this ribosomal RNA (460 nucleotides) under uncultured bacterium. Its description in RNAcentral is "partial 16S ribosomal RNA". It matches the Rfam family "Bacterial small subunit ribosomal RNA", at positions 338 to 795 of the family's 1533-position model. The record is from RNAcentral.